Molecule: transfer RNA, 76 nt
Filed under: Actinomadura sp. NBRC 104425
Lineage: Bacteria; Bacillati; Actinomycetota; Actinomycetes; Streptosporangiales; Thermomonosporaceae
Description: tRNA-Arg
Source: RNAcentral
GCCACCGCGGCGGGGGCGGCGCCGCCGCGUCCUGCGGGGCCGCCGCGUCCUGCGGGUUCGACGCCUGCUGCUGGUC